Molecule: unclassified non-coding RNA, 240 nt
Filed under: soil metagenome
Description: partial contains 5.8S ribosomal RNA, internal transcribed spacer 2, and large subunit ribosomal RNA
Source: RNAcentral
AAGACUAUAGACCUGCGGAGUACCUGGAGGGAUCAUUAUCGUAUUGUAACAAUUGGGGGGGCCACCGUGGGCUGUCGCUGACCCUUUGAAAGGGGGGUCGUGCACGCCCCCAUAGUGUCAUCCUCAUACAAUCCAACUCACCUCUGUGCAUCACCGCGUGGGUUCCUUUCUGGGUCGAGUCAGACUGGCUCAGAAAAAAGGGGCUUGCGUUUUCCAUACAAAUACCCUUAUAAAUCCAGU